This 253-nucleotide ribosomal RNA is filed under the name uncultured bacterium. Its description in RNAcentral is "partial 16S ribosomal RNA". It matches the Rfam family "Bacterial small subunit ribosomal RNA", at positions 524 to 776 of the family's 1533-position model. The record is from RNAcentral.
UACGGAGGGAGCUAGCGUUGUUCGGAAUUACUGGGCGUAAAGCGCACGUAGGCGGCUUUGUAAGUUAGAGGUGAAAGCCCGGGGCUCAACUCCGGAACUGCCUUUAAGACUGCAUCGCUUGAAUCCAGGAGAGGUGAGUGGAAUUCCGAGUGUAGAGGUGAAAUUCGUAGGUAUUCGGAAGAACACGAGUGGCGAGGGCGGCUCACUGGACUGGUAUUGACGCUGAGGUGCGAAAGCGUGGGGAGCAAACAGG